GGCACCACACAGUCCGAGGACGAACUUGGGACUUGCCAAAAAUCUCCAGCAGGGACAGCCCCCACCAUCACGGCCCCGUGAGCAAAACAGCCCCAGCUUGGUGAACUUACAGAAAUCCACCUGCAGGUCCCGGUAGACCAAGCUGUGGGCACUCGGAGGUUGUUCCAGUUUGGAAGUGAACGUGAUGAUGGAGUCAGGGAAGAGGAAUGCAGAUCUGGGUAAGUCAUUUUUCUUUCUUCCAUCAACACAAGCCCCUUCUCGUUUCUGUACAUAUCCCACAUUGAUAUUCAUAUCCCAUGCUGGUACACACAUCCUUUCUUCCCUGAGUGGGUGGCUUAUUUGUCCUGUCUCAUAUUCUAGACACAUGUGGACAAAGACCACAUCAGAUAGAUUCAUAAACAGUGUAAUUUUUGGAAUAUUGUCAUCAAUAGGAAAAAAAAAUACAGAAUUGGCUUUGAUAAUGAUUUUUGUAGCAUACACAGAGGAAGAACUUAGGGCUGAAUUCUCUCUCUGUCUCUCUUUUAGAAGAAUGGGAUGCAAAAAUCAGUAAGUGUCUUUUUUUUUUUUUUUUUCUUGUCCUCUGCUGGUAAGAGAUGGGUGCUAAAGGCCUGAACUAACAUUAUUUUCUCUAUUUAAAGGGAAGUUAACAGAAGAAUUUGGUAAGUCGCUUGUCUUCCUAACACACACCUAAGUUUGAACGCAUGAGUUUGAUUCUACAGCUGUAGCAUGAGCAAUGACCAACAUGUGUAUUUGUAUUUUUUUUAUUUCAUUUAGAAGAAAGUGACACAGAACUCGGUAAGUGGUUUGGUUUGCUUUUGCUGCUACUGAAGAUGAAAAAAAAAAGUUUCUUUGUGUAGCUUUUGGGCUUGGAAAAACAGCAAACGUCCUUCAGAUCUUAAAUUUGUGCUGAUAAACAGAUAAAGACAAGACAGAUAGCUUUGGUCCCUUCUCCUUAAGUUCUUGGCAUCUUUUUUGGGAGGAGACAAACUGUCUCUCUACAGUCCAACAGCAUUCCCUAAUUCCUUCUUUGGUCCCUUGCUUGCUCACUGAAGUAUGUUGGAGGCGGAGAACUUUUAGGAUUAACACGUGUUUAUUUCUCUAUUAUUCUUAGAGGAAUGUGACACAGAAAAUGGUAAGUGUCCUCCUUCAAUUUAAAAAUAAUAGUGCCCUUCAAAUGGUGUCAGUCAUGCUUUGGAAUAAAACUUUUUUUUUUUAUAAUGCAUACUUUUACAAUACAUUUGCAAUAUAUACUUUUUUUAAUACAAUAAAUACUUUUUUUCUGUCCUUGAGAAUAUUUUCUGCAAUGCUUAGCACAUCAUGUUCUUUUGAAGACAUGUUUGGGGCAGGACUCUUAACAGCAAUUUGCAAUUUGUGCAUUUUUUUUGUCUAGGCUUUGGAAAAUGUAGGAAUAUAAAAGUGUUAAAAUGAAAGCUAAUUGGAAAUUCCUGUAAUAAAUAACCUAUGUCUGGGUCAGUAAAGAGGUUUUGCCCCCUUAAGCUAUGUAAAAAUGAUAUAAAACAUGCAGAAGUGGUGAAAAAUACUUUAAAUUUCCCUUCUUUUCUCUAUUUUUUCUUCUUGUGGGGGACAAAAUGAAGAAAUAGGUAAGCGUUGCUUCAUUGUCUUUAUCAAAUAGAGUCUGAUAAGAGAAUUUCUUGUUUAAUGAACCCUGCAUGAGUACUUAGGAUGCCAUGUAACAGAUGAGACCCAUGGUCCCAUCUACUGUAGGGUCUACGCUUGACCCUACUUGGUAAUAUAAACGCCAAAUUCAUAGGCUCAAGGAGAACAAACUCAAUCAAAUCGCAGUCUUUUAACACGAAUCCCAAUCUGUUUCUUUAUUUUAAGGGGAACUCACAGCUGAGAUAGGUAAGUUUUAUUUUUACCUCCCAUCAAAUAUGUUUUUUUAUGUAGCUUGAGACACGAUUUUCCUGGGGUUUAUUCCCUGUUCUCUUGCCUGAUUUAAAAAAGGCAGGAUAAGCUUGAGGCAUACUCGUUUAUAACAAGAAUAUUAAAAAAAAAAUAAAUACAAUAGAAUAGCACAGAAAACAGUGGGCUUGCAGGUUGCUGUAGCCAAAAAGACAAUAAGAGAUCCUUGGGAAUUUCUGAGAUGAAGACCAAGUGAUGGACCAUGUACCAUAGGGCAGAGAGCUUUGGGGGAUUUGGGGCUGUUGAGAUCCAGUGCAUGCAAAGUGCCAGAUUUCCAAUUAUUCAUUGAGGGAGAGGGAUUAAAAUUUGCAAGAAUUCCUUAAACUUUGCAAAAGUUCCCCCUUUUUUUCCAGUUCAUUGUCCCAUCACUCGUGGUAGAUGUCGCAAGGGAUGCAGAUGAUGGGUAGGGUGUUAGAUACAGAUUUGCCUUAUUUUCUGAUCAAAGGAAGGGUAGGAGCAUCCCUGCCGUCCUUUUACCCCAUCCUUGGGAAAAUCUGCCUUUAUUUUUUUUUCUCUUUUAAGACAAUCUGACUGCGGAGCUUGGUGAGUGAUUUUCCUUCCUUUCUGUCUUUAUUUCACUGCAAGAUUUUAGGGGGAAAAGAUGCUUAUUCCCCACAUACACCCCACAUACACCCAAUCUGGGCUAGAAUUAAGGCCAAACAAUUCAACCCAAAGCCUAACUGCAAAUUCUAAUUACCAGUUUAAAAAUUAAAAUAGGAUUUGGAAGAUAAUUUGAGGCUCACGAACGUGGUGGACUUUUAAUAAUGACCGAUGUUUCUUUUCUCUUUUAGAGGAACGUGAUAGAAAAAUUAGUAAGUGUCAUUUUUCUUUUCUUCUAGAAUAAAAUUCCAGUGUUUUGGAUCUGGUUACUACCAUUUUUAGAUGUUAUGGGAUGUUUUAGCUUCAUACUAACCUGCAGAUGUGGCAGAAUUUGGGAUUUUGGGCUACGAUCGACCCUUUUCCUUUAUCACCACCAAUACCAGAGAUGCGGAGACAGAUUCUUUCCCCAUAGUAUAAGUCUGUUUUCACCAAGCCCUUCUCCCAAGGGGCUUUUUCUGGGCAUCAGCACCUGCUCGUUGCUCUCGUUAGCAUCAGAGUGGUGCAGUUAUAUUAUAAAUUAUCCCUGGGGAAAGAGAAAUGCAGCAUGGUAUCAGCUAGGCUUUAUUCACAGAGAAAUAAAUUCAGCAGAUUUAUGUCUUAUAAUUUAAAUUAAUCUUAUUUUUUUUGGUUUUUUUUUGUUUUUUUUUUUUUUUUUUUACAAGGAAAACUUACUUCAGACCUUGGUAAGGAGUUUUAUUGCCUUAAAAUUCUCCUUAAUUCUGGAAAAGCGAUGGGGAUAACAAGAAAUAUGAAGAGUUUGUGUUUAACCCUGCUUGAAGAAUGGGUGGGUUAAAAGGGCACGUCCUCCUUGAAAAAAAAAUUAUUUUUGAAAUGUUAAUAAGGGGAAGGUGGUCAUGGAAUAAAAUUUCUAUUGGGUUUGAGGUUUUUUGGGGGAAGGCAGAGCCCUAUGAGAGGGGAUAUGGGAUACACAAGGGGCUGCUUUGCAUUUCUCUAUAUUUAUUUUAUCUGUUUACAUUUUAGGUGAAUGUGAUACAAAAAUCAGUAAGUGCAAUUGUUUUUUCUCUGCAAAGUUAAACCACAGCAAGGUGACAGAUUUGCUUAAGCUCAUUGUUGUAUUUACAAAUAAUUUGGAUGGGUGAUACGGAGGUUGUGUGCCUGGUACUUUAUCUUUGAAAAUGGGAGUGGAAAGGAUGUUUCCUGCAGGAAAAUUAAAUUUCCAGUCUGCAAAGACAUUAGGAUUUCUUUUCAAGACUAACAUUCCCCAAAAAAGUGGUAUUUCAACAUACAACCGCCAGGAUAAAGUGAGAAAAAAGAAAUUUUCCUGCUCUGAGUGCUUUAGGGAUGCUAUACAUACACAUAAAAAGAAGGAAAUAUUUUUUAAUAUUUUUUUCCUGUUUAUUUUUCUUUUUCUCCUUCUUUCCUUUCCAGAGGAGCGUGAUAGAAAAAUAAGUAAGUGUCAUUCUUCACAGUGCUUUUGGGGUAAAAAUCAUCCCUUGGCGUUUGGGGGAGAGGAGCCUCUCUGAUACCCUAUCCCUGAAAAAUGAUAAAUGAGAUUAUUUUCCCCAAAUUUGAUUGUACACAUGGGGCUGCAGAGAAAAAUAAAACAAUAAAAAUUAAUAAUGUUUUUCCUCCUUGCAGCCAAGCUCUCAGCAGAAAUACGUAAGUCUUUUUUUUUUUUUUCCAAGCCACACUGACAGUUUUAUCCUUAGAAACCUCUUUGUUGGAGUUGAUUUUUCGCUGCUUUAACUGAAAUAAUGUAUUUUUUUUCUAUUUUCUAGGUAGGCUCACAGCUCUGCUUGGUAAGUCUGCUUUGUGACCAGAACAUCCCAUGGGGUUUAUUUUGAUUAAAUCUGCACGAUUUUGUGCAGUUAGGUUGGAGGGACCUCUGCAGGUCUCUGAUCCAACCUCCUGGUCCUCACCAAGGCUUAUGCCAAGGUGAGACCAAGUUGCUUGGG
This 4439-nucleotide long non-coding RNA is filed under the name Anas zonorhyncha (Eastern spot-billed duck). RNAcentral's name for it is "lncRNA (ENSAZOG00000003613.1)". Lineage: Eukaryota; Metazoa; Chordata; Aves; Anseriformes; Anatidae. The record is from RNAcentral.